Molecule: ribosomal RNA, 1127 nt
Filed under: Phyllidia elegans
Lineage: Eukaryota; Metazoa; Mollusca; Gastropoda; Nudibranchia; Phyllidiidae
Description: 16S ribosomal RNA
Rfam family: Archaeal large subunit ribosomal RNA (bases 446-1127)
Source: RNAcentral
AUCUUUAAAAUCUAUUUUAAUUAUAAAUUAAUAAAACAAUUACUUUAGUGGAAAGUAUAAAAAUUAAGAUAUUCUAAUAAUUUGUACCUUUUGUAUAAUGGUUAUACUAAAAUUCUUUUGUUUAAAAUUACCCGAACUAAGAAGAGCUAACUUUUAAAUAGUAAUUUAGGACAACUAAAAUAACUAUGUUGAAUUAUGGUUAAAAAAUUAUUAGUUAGUAGUGAAAAACUCUCAAUUCUUAAGAUAUCUGGUAGUCUUGGAAAGGCAUUUAGUGCCUAGAAAGUUAUACAUAAAGUGAUUAGAUUUUAUGUAAUUAAUAUUUUAAUUCUUAUUUAUUUUUCUAUUGUUGAUCCUAACGAAAAUUUUUAACUACAAUUAAAUUUCUUAUUAUUUAAAUUUAUUCUUUUACGAGACAUAUUUAAUUAACUUUAAUUAAAUUUUAAAAUGUAUAAAUUAGUAGUAAUUAGACCAAAUAUUUUUAUACUUAAUUAAAAAUUUUAUCAAAAUUAGUAAUUUAUAAAUAGUUUAAAGGAACUCGGCAAAUAAGAAUUUCGACUGUUUAACAAAAACAUAGCUUUAGGAAUUAAUCUAAAGUCAAACCUGCUCAAUGUAUAAUUUUAUAAUAUAAGUAUAAAUAGCCGCGGUACUUUGACCGUGCUAAGGUAGCGCAAUAAAUUGGCUUUUAAUUGGAGUCAGGUAUGAAUGGAGUUACGGAAUUUAACUGUCUCUAGACUAAUUUUUUGAAAUUACUAUAUAGGUGAAAAAGCCUAUGUAAACAAAAUAGACGAGAAGACCCUUAGAGUUUUAUUUAAUGUAAGAUAUUCUUACGAUAAUUUAGUUGGGGCAACUUAGGAACAGAUAGUGUAAGUAACUUCCUAAAAUGUAAUUAUUCAACGAUUUUAGUAAAAUUAUAUAAACUACCUUAGGGAUAACAGCAUAAUUUAUUAUAUAAGUUUGUGACCUCGAUGUUGGACUAGGAAAUUAAAAGGCUAGCCGCUUUUUAAAAAGGUUCUGUUCGAACUAUAAAUCCUACAUGAUCUGAGUUCAGACCGGCGUAAGCCAGGUCAGAUUCAAUCUUUUUAACUUAAAAGUUUAGUACGAAAGGACCAAUUUUUAGUACAAAGAAU